CGGGUACUGCCCUUCUCGUGUCACGGGUCAAAUUCCGGUGGCCUUAAUCAAUUCCGAGGGAACUGGCUCUGUCCGGACCGUGGUCCGGUUACCCGGUGCCCACCUGUUAAGUCAGGUCCUCGGGAAUUAAGCACCCCAACGGUCGUGGCGGUCCCGCC
Molecule: non-coding RNA, 158 nt
Filed under: Paracoccaceae bacterium
Lineage: Bacteria; Pseudomonadati; Pseudomonadota; Alphaproteobacteria; Rhodobacterales; Paracoccaceae
Description: Rhodobacteraceae bacterium (hydrothermal vent metagenome) 6S RNA
Rfam family: 6S / SsrS RNA
About the family: E. coli 6S RNA was the first non coding RNA to be sequenced, but its function was unknown until recently. It consists of 184 nucleotides that fold into an extended hairpin structure with a large single-stranded internal bulge. The 6S RNA specifically associates with RNA polymerase holoenzyme containing the sigma70 specificity factor.
Source: RNAcentral